RNAcentral lists this ribosomal RNA (253 nucleotides) under uncultured bacterium. RNAcentral describes it as "partial 16S ribosomal RNA". It matches the Rfam family "Bacterial small subunit ribosomal RNA", at positions 524 to 776 of the family's 1533-position model. The record is from RNAcentral.
UACGAAGGGUGCAAACGUUGCUCGGAAUCAUUGGGCGUAAAGCGCACGUAGGCGGCUUCGCAAGUCGGAUGUGAAAUACCUCGGCUCAACCAAGGACGUGCAUCCGAAACUGUGGGGCUUGAGUACUGAAGAGGAUCGCGGAAUUCCCGGUGUGGAGGUGAAAUUCGUAGAUAUCGGGAGGAGCACCAGUGGCGAAGGCGGCGAUCUGGGCAGAUACUGACGCUGAGGUGCGAAAGCGUGGGGAGCAAACAGG